Long non-coding RNA from Ornithodoros turicata, 293 nucleotides. RefSeq lists it as uncharacterized. NCBI's taxonomy places the organism in Eukaryota, Metazoa, Arthropoda, Arachnida, Ixodida, Argasidae. The transcript is spliced from 3 exons. The record is from RefSeq and is a predicted model, not a curated record.
CUCCAAGCCUAUGUGGACACACUGGAGGAGCGACUGAAAGUGGCGGAGAACAACUACGGUGAACAUAAGCAGUAGUGUCAUGGUAGAGAAAGUGGUCCUGGACCGGCUGCGCUCCCAUUGCCGGGGAGCACCCACCAAGUUUGCGAGAAGUCUGCUGAAGAAUGUGUUUUCAGAAGAUGAGCUCCGAGGGAAGUCCCUGUUCGGAAAGGGCUCUAUGCAAAUACGGACGGGCCUACUAAGGAGGCACUUGACCCAGUGCGGGUUAUGUCUCCGGGAAGUUCGACACAACUGUG